UACGUAGGGUGCGAGCGUUGUCCGGAAUUACUGGGCGUAAAGAGCUCGUAGGUGGUUUGUCGCGUCGUCUGUGAAAUUCCGGGGCUUAACUUCGGGCGUGCAGGCGAUACGGGCAAUACUUGAGUGCUGUAGGGGAGACUGGAAUUCCUGGUGUAGCGGUGGAAUGCGCAGAUAUCAGGAGGAACACCGAUGGCGAAGGCAGGUCUCUGGGCAGUAACUGACGCUGAGGCGCGAAAGCGUGGGGAGCAAACAGGAUUAGAUA
RNAcentral lists this ribosomal RNA (262 nucleotides) under uncultured prokaryote. Its description in RNAcentral is "partial 16S ribosomal RNA". It matches the Rfam family "Bacterial small subunit ribosomal RNA", at positions 524 to 784 of the family's 1533-position model. The record is from RNAcentral.